Molecule: ribosomal RNA, 540 nt
Filed under: Enterobacter sp.
Lineage: Bacteria; Pseudomonadati; Pseudomonadota; Gammaproteobacteria; Enterobacterales; Enterobacteriaceae
Description: bacterial SSU rRNA
Rfam family: Bacterial small subunit ribosomal RNA
Source: RNAcentral
UUGCUGCUUUGCUGACGAGUGGCGGACGGGUGAGUAAUGUCUGGGAAACUGCCUGAUGGAGGGGGAUAACUACUGGAAACGGUAGCUAAUACCGCAUAACGUCGCAAGACCAAAGAGGGGGACCUUCGGGCCUCUUGCCAUCGGAUGUGCCCAGAUGGGAUUAGCUAGUAGGUGGGGUAACGGCUCACCUAGGCGACGAUCCCUAGCUGGUCUGAGAGGAUGACCAGCCACACUGGAACUGAGACACGGUCCAGACUCCUACGGGAGGCAGCAGUGGGGAAUAUUGCACAAUGGGCGCAAGCCUGAUGCAGCCAUGCCGCGUGUAUGAAGAAGGCCUUCGGGUUGUAAAGUACUUUCAGCGGGGAGGAAGGCGUUGAGGUUAAUAACCUCGUCGAUUGACGUUACCCGCAGAAGAAGCACCGGCUAACUCCGUGCCAGCAGCCGCGGUAAUACGGAGGGUGCAAGCGUUAAUCGGAAUUACUGGGCGUAAAGCGCACGCAGGCGGUCUGUCAAGUCGGAUGUGAAAUCCCCGGGCUCAAC